This 77-nucleotide transfer RNA is filed under the name Alphaproteobacteria bacterium. RNAcentral's name for it is "tRNA-His". It matches the Rfam family "tRNA". From Rfam's summary of the family: Transfer RNA (tRNA) molecules are approximately 80 nucleotides in length. Lineage: Bacteria; Pseudomonadati; Pseudomonadota; Alphaproteobacteria. The record is from RNAcentral.
GCGGACGUAGCUCAGUUGGUUAGAGCGCGGGCUUGUGGUGCCCGAUGUCGAGGGUUCGAAUCCCUUCGUUCGCCCCA